Molecule: non-coding RNA, 94 nt
Organism: Mycena galopus ATCC 62051
Lineage: Eukaryota; Fungi; Basidiomycota; Agaricomycetes; Agaricales; Mycenaceae
Source: the annotation of a GenBank genome assembly
GCAUUAAUGGGGUAGUGCUAACCUGGGUCGUUGUCAUGAGGUGAUACUUCUGGCUCUCUCGACCUGCCGGGGGGUUUGAUUCCCUCUUAAUGCA